AGAGUUUGAUCCUGGCUCAGGAUGAACGCUAGCUACAGGCUUAACACAUGCAAGUCGAGGGGAAACGAUAUUGGAAGCUUGCUUCCGAUAGGCGUCGACCGGCGCACGGGUGAGUAACGCGUAUCCAACCUGCCCAUCACUUGGGGAUAACCUUGCGAAAGUAAGACUAAUACCCAAUGACGUCUCUAGAAGACAUCUGAAGGAGAUUAAAGAUUUAUCGGUGAUGGAUGGGGAUGCGUCUGAUUAGCUUGUUGGCGGGGUAACGGCCCACCAAGGCAACGAUCAGUAGGGGCUCUGAGAGGAAGGUCCCCCACAUUGGAACUGAGACACGGUCCAAACUCCUACGGGAGGCAGCAGUGAGGAAUAUUGGUCAAUGGGCGAGAGCCUGAACCAGCCAAGUAGCGUGAAGGAUGACUGCCCUAUGGGUUGUAAACUUCUUUUAUAAAGGAAUAAAGUCGGGUAUGCAUACCCGUUUGCAUGUACUUUAUGAAUAAGGAUCGGCUAACUCCGUGCCAGCAGCCGCGGUAAUACGGAGGAUCCGAGCGUUAUCCGGAUUUAUUGGGUUUAAAGGGAGCCUAGAUGGAUGUUUAAGUCAGUUGUGAAAGUUUGCGGCUCAACCGUAAAAUUGCAGUUGAUACUGGAUAUCUUGAGUGCAGUUGAGGCAGGCGGAAUUCGUGGUGUAGCGGUGAAAUGCUUAGAUAUCACGAAGAACUCCGAUUGCGAAGGCAGCCUGCUAAGCUGCAACUGACAUUGAGGCUCGAAAGUGUGGGUAUCAAACAGGAUUAGAUACCCUGGUAGUCCACACGGUAAACGAUGAAUACUCGCUGUUUGCGAUAUACAGCAAGCGGCCAAGCGAAAGCGUUAAGUAUUCCACCUGGGGAGUACGCCGGCAACGGUGAAACUCAAAGGAAUUGACGGGGGCCCGCACAAGCGGAGGAACAUGUGGUUUAAUUCGAUGAUACGCGAGGAACCUUACCCGGGCUUAAAUUGCAGAUGAAUUACGGUGAAAGCCGUAAGCCGCAAGGCAUCUGUGAAGGUGCUGCAUGGUUGUCGUCAGCUCGUGCCGUGAGGUGUCGGCUUAAGUGCCAUAACGAGCGCAACCCUUGUUGUCAGUUACUAACAGGUCAUGCUGAGGACUCUGACAAGACUGCCAUCGUAAGAUGUGAGGAAGGUGGGGAUGACGUCAAAUCAGCACGGCCCUUACGUCCGGGGCUACACACGUGUUACAAUGGGGGGUACAGAGGGCCGCUACCACGCGAGUGGAUGCCAAUCCCAAAAACCUCUCUCAGUUCGGACUGGAGUCUGCAACCCGACUCCACGAAGCUGGGUUCGCUAGUAAUCGCGCAUCAGCCACGGCGCGGUGAAUACGUUCCCGGGCCUUGUACACACCGCCCGUCAAGCCAUGGGAGCCGGGGGUACCUGAAGUGCGUAACCGCGAGGAGCGCCCUAGGGUAAAACUGGUGACUGGGGCUAAGUCGUAACAAGGUA
This 1488-nucleotide ribosomal RNA is filed under the name metagenome. RNAcentral's name for it is "bacterial SSU rRNA". It matches the Rfam family "Bacterial small subunit ribosomal RNA". The record is from RNAcentral.